CCUACGGGAGGCAGCAGUGAGGAAUAUUGGUCAAUGGACGAGAGUCUGAACCAGCCAAGUAGCGUGAAGGAUGACUGUCCUAUGGGUUGUAAACUUCUUUUAUAAAGGAAUAAAACGAGGCACGUGUGCCUUUUUGCAUGUACUUUAUGAAUAAGGAUCGGCUAACUCCGUGCCAGCAGCCGCGGUAAUACGGAGGAUCCGAGCGUUAUCCGGAUUUAUUGGGUUUAAAGGGAGCGUAGAUGGGUUGUUAAGUCAGUUGUGAAAGUUUGCGGCUCAACCGUAAAAUUGCAAUUGAUACUGGCAGUCGUGAGUACAGUUGAGGUAGGCGGAAUUCGUGGUGUAGCGGUGAAAUGCUUAGAUAUCACGAAGAACCCCGAGUGCGAAGGCAGCUUACUAAACUGUGACUGACAUUGAUGCUCGAAAGUGUGGGUAUCAAACAGGAUUAGAUACCCCUGUAGUC
This 460-nucleotide ribosomal RNA is filed under the name uncultured bacterium. RNAcentral's name for it is "partial 16S ribosomal RNA". It matches the Rfam family "Bacterial small subunit ribosomal RNA", at positions 338 to 795 of the family's 1533-position model. The record is from RNAcentral.